This 2944-nucleotide ribosomal RNA is filed under the name Ambystoma mexicanum (axolotl). Its description in RNAcentral is "eukaryotic LSU rRNA". The stretch from base 693 to 2944 matches the Rfam family "Eukaryotic large subunit ribosomal RNA". Lineage: Eukaryota; Metazoa; Chordata; Amphibia; Caudata; Ambystomatidae. The record is from RNAcentral.
CCCAGCCUCUCCCUUCGACCGCCCCGCUGCGGUGGAGCAGGAGAGGUGUCCAGUGGCCAUGUGGUUGACCUGUCCACCAACCGAUAAGUGUUUGGGCACUCUUUGAUGCUUGGGUCGUGCAGACCACAAAGUGUGGGAAGGCUGGCCUUAGAUGGGCUUGCAGAUCUCCCUGUUGCCACUGCCCAGAGGGUGCGGCUGCCUGGUUGAUUGUGCCAGUAACAGAUGCUUGUAUCAAAGAUUAAGCCAUGCACGUUUAAGUACACAUGGCCGGUUCAAUGAAACUGCGAAUGGCUCAUUAAAUCAGUUAUGCUUCCCUUGAUCACUCCAUCUGUUACUUGGAUAACUGUGGGAAUUCUAGAGCUUAUACAUGCUGACAAGUGCUGACCUCCCAAGGUGUGUGCUUUUAUCAGAACAACACCAAUCCAGGAUUGCCUGGCGCUUUGGUGACUCAAAAUAACCUUGGGCUGAUGGCACGUCCUUGUGACAGAGACGAUACAUUCGGAUGUCUGCCUUAUCAUCUUUGAUGGUACUUUCUGUGCCUUUCAUGGUGACCAUGGGUAAUGGGGAAUCACUGUUUGAUUCCGGAGUGGGAGCAUAAGCAAUGGCUACCACAGCAAGGAAUGAAGCGGCCGCGCAAAAAACCCACUCUUGACUCAGGGAGGUAGUGAUGAAAAAUAAUAUAGUACACUUUAGAGGCUUGUAGUUAGAAGGAGUACACUUUAAAUCCUUUACUGAGUUGCCAAUGAAGGGCAAGUCUGGUGCCAGCAGCCUUGGGAAUUCUUAGCUCCAAUAGCGUAUAUUAAAGUUGCUGCAGUUACAACUCUCUUGGGAUCGAGCUGGUGGUCUUCCGCAAGGUGAGCUACCACCUGUCCCAGUCCCUGCCUCUCAGAGCCCCUGAGUGUCAGGGUGGUCUGAAGUGUUUAAAAAAAUAGAGUGUUGAAAGCAGGCUGGUCACCUGAAAACCUCAGCUAAGAAUAAUGGAAUAGGACUCUGGUUCUAUUUUAUUGGUUUUCGGAACUGGGGCUAUGAUUAAGAUCGAUGCCUGGGGAAUUGACAUUGUGCCGCUGGAGAGUUCCAUGUGAACAGAAGUUGAACAUGGGUCAUUUGGUCCUAAGAGAUCAGUGAGCACCUUUCGGAAGGGAUGGCAAUGACUUCCGUUGCCCUCAGCCAAUCGAAAGGGAGUCGGAUAAUGAUCCCCGAACCUGGAGUGGCACAGAUGGGUACCCUUGUGGCAUCCAGUGGGGUAACGCAAAUAUCCCAGAGAAGCUGACUGGAGUCCCGGGAAGAGUUCUCUUUUGUGAAGGGUAGUGCACCCUGGAAUGGGUUCCCCCCGAGAGAGAGGCCAGAGCCCUGGAAAGCGUUGCAGUUCCGGUGAGCUAUCUUUGGUCCUUCAAAUGUGGGGGGAUGGUGUAAAUCUGCGACGGGCCAUGCCCAUAUCCAAAGCAGGUAUCCAAGGUGAACAGCCUCUGGCAUGCUGGAACAAUAUAGGUAAGGGAAGUCGGCAAGUCAGAUCCAUAACUCCCAGAUAAGAAUUGGCUCUAAAACCUGGGUUGAUUGGGCUGGGGUGCAAAGCAAGGCUAGGAUCGUGCUGCAGCUGAAUGGGGCAACCAUCCUGGGUUCGCUGACUCUGGACGUGAGCUGGCCCCUUCCUGUGGAUCGCCCCAGCUACGCUGGUUGCCGCUCUCAGUUCCCCUCUUGGGGUUCUGGCCAGUGUUCUGCCUUUGCUGAUGCCUCGCUGACUUAGAACUGGUGCGGACCAGGGAAAUCCGACUGUUUAAUUUAAAAAAAGCAUCAAGAAGGGCCAAGGCGGAUGUUGAUGUGAUGGGAUUUCUGCACUGUGCUAUGAAUGUCAAAGUGUGGAAAUUCAAUGAAGUUCUGGUACAUACAAGGAGUAAAUAUGACUCUCUUAAGAUAGCCAAAUGCCUCGCCAUCUAAUUAGUGAAGUGCUUGAAUGGAGGAACGAUACUUCUGCUGUCCCCACCUACUAUCUUUCGAAACCACAGCCAAGGGAACAGGCUUGCCAGAAUCAGCAGGGAAAGAGGACAGUGUUGAUCGUGACUCUAGUCUGGUACCGUGAAGAGACAUGAGAGAUGGAGGAUAAGUGGGAAGCCCUUUGGCUGCCGGUGAAACACCACUGCCCUUAUUGUUUGUUUCACUUACACAGUGAUACACUUCUGGCUCCAAGUGCCUGCCGUCCACUGGACGCAACUCACUCUGGGGACAGUGGCAGGUGGGGAGUUUGACUGGGGCAUUACACCUGUCAAACUUUAACAGAGGUCUCCUAAAGCGAGCUCAGGGAGGACAGAAACCUCCCACAGAGGAGAAGAGCAAAUGCUUGCAUGAUCUCGAUUUUCAGUAUGAAUACAGACUGUGAAAGUGGGGCCUCAUGAUCCUUCUGACUUUUUGGAUUUUAAGCAGGAGGUGUGAGAAAGGUUACCACAGGGAUAACUGGCUUGUGGCACCCAAGCGUAUAUAGCCAUGCCACUUUUUGACCCUUCGAUGUCUGCUAUUCCUAUCAUUGUGAAACUGAAUCCACAAAGUGUUGGAUUAUUCACACACCAAUAGGGAACGUGAGCUGGAUUUAGACGGUCAUGAGACAGGUUUAUUUUACCAUACGGAUGAAGAAUUUUUGUAAUAGUAAUCCUGCCCAGUAUGGGAGGAACCGCAGUUUCAGACAUAUAUGUAUGUGCCUGCCUGAGGAGCCAAUGGGGCGAAGCUACCAUGUGUGGGAUUAAUACUGAACACUUCUACGUCAGAAUCCCCCUAAACCGUAAUGAUACGGCAGCACUGUGGAGACUCAGUUGUCCUAUGAUAGUUGCGCUCUGUGCCAGUACAUAGAGCCGCUCUCCUCUGCACUAAAAUGUGGACAGAAUCCCCAUGCUGUUACAAUUCAGAAAAGAACUCAAGACCCACCUCUUCAAGGUGUUUUUCCUCCUCAACACCU